Molecule: transfer RNA, 69 nt
Filed under: Azospirillum sp. TSO35-2
Lineage: Bacteria; Pseudomonadati; Pseudomonadota; Alphaproteobacteria; Rhodospirillales; Azospirillaceae
Description: tRNA-Lys
Rfam family: tRNA
About the family: Transfer RNA (tRNA) molecules are approximately 80 nucleotides in length. Their secondary structure includes four short double-helical elements and three loops (D, anti-codon, and T loops).
Source: RNAcentral
GGGCGCAUAGCUCAGUUGGUAGAGCAGCUGACUCUUAAUCAGCGGGCCCAAGGUUCGAGUCCUUGUGCG